This 1219-nucleotide ribosomal RNA is filed under the name Staphylococcus aureus. RNAcentral describes it as "partial 23S ribosomal RNA". It matches the Rfam family "Bacterial large subunit ribosomal RNA", at positions 89 to 1309 of the family's 2925-position model. Lineage: Bacteria; Bacillati; Bacillota; Bacilli; Caryophanales; Staphylococcaceae. The record is from RNAcentral.
UAAGUAAGCUUUGAUCCAGAGAUUUCCGAAUGGGGAAACCCAGCAUGAGUUAUGUCAUGUUAUCGAUAUGUGAAUACAUAGCAUAUCAGAAGGCACACCCGGAGAACUGAAACAUCUUAGUACCCGGAGGAAGAGAAAGAAAAUUCGAUUCCCUUAGUAGCGGCGAGCGAAACGGGAAGAGCCCAAACCAACAAGCUUGCUUGUUGGGGUUGUAGGACACUCUAUACGGAGUUACAAAGGACGACAUUAGACGAAUCAUCUGGAAAGAUGAAUCAAAGAAGGUAAUAAUCCUGUAGUCGAAAAUGUUGUCUCUCUUGAGUGGAUCCUGAGUACGACGGAGCACGUGAAAUUCCGUCGGAAUCUGGGAGGACCAUCUCCUAAGGCUAAAUACUCUCUAGUGACCGAUAGUGAACCAGUACCGUGAGGGAAAGGUGAAAAGCACCCCGGAAGGGGAGUGAAAUAGAACCUGAAACCGUGUGCUUACAAGUAGUCAGAGCCCGUUAAUGGGUGAUGGCGUGCCUUUUGUAGAAUGAACCGGCGAGUUACGAUUUGAUGCAAGGUUAAGCAGUAAAUGUGGAGCCGUAGCGAAAGCGAGUCUGAAUAGGGCGUUUAGUAUUUGGUCGUAGACCCGAAACCAGGUGAUCUACCCUUGGUCAGGUUGAAGUUCAGGUAACACUGAAUGGAGGACCGAACCGACUUACGUUGAAAAGUGAGCGGAUGAACUGAGGGUAGCGGAGAAAUUCCAAUCGAACCUGGAGAUAGCUGGUUCUCUCCGAAAUAGCUUUAGGGCUAGCCUCAAGUGAUGAUUAUUGGAGGUAGAGCACUGUUUGGACGAGGGGCCCCUCUCGGGUUACCGAAUUCAGACAAACUCCGAAUGCCAAUUAAUUUAACUUGGGAGUCAGAACAUGGGUGAUAAGGUCCGUGUUCGAAAGGGAAACAGCCCAGACCACCAGCUAAGGUCCCAAAAUAUAUGUUAAGUGGAAAAGGAUGUGGCGUUGCCCAGACAACUAGGAUGUUGGCUUAGAAGCAGCCAUCAUUUAAAGAGUGCGUAAUAGCUCACUAGUCGAGUGACACUGCGCCGAAAAUGUACCGGGGCUAAACAUAUUACCGAAGCUGUGGAUUGUCCUUUGGACAAUGGUAGGAGAGCGUUCUAAGGGCGUUGAAGCAUGAUCGUAAGGACAUGUGGAGCGCUUAGAAGUGAGAAUGCCGGUGUGAGUAG